RNAcentral lists this long non-coding RNA (341 nucleotides) under Actinidia chinensis (golden kiwifruit). RNAcentral describes it as "long non-coding RNA (ACHI_LNC006209)". Lineage: Eukaryota; Viridiplantae; Streptophyta; Magnoliopsida; Ericales; Actinidiaceae. The record is from RNAcentral.
UGGGGUCCCCCUCUUCAUUAGCACGUUUCUGCUAUUGUUGUCAAGCUAUUGCUCUCACAUCUAUUUCCUCCUCGCCCUACUCGUGAUCGCCCAGCGUCUUCUACUUUCAGUAAGUACUCUUCUCCUGACUUAUAGUUAUCGUUCUCGUAGUUUAUGUCCCGUAAUUCCGACGUAACUAGAUCGGGCGACCUAGAUUCGUUACCUUCGUGGAUAUCCGACCAUUUAGGAGAAGGCUCCCCCUAUAUGGCUGACGAGGUAACUCAAUCGCCGUCGUCGCCCAUGGAGGGUUCACCUGAGGAGAGUCCUUUGAUCGCCAUUCAUCCCUCAAUAGAGGAAAAAAC